RNAcentral lists this transfer RNA (91 nucleotides) under Fidelibacterota bacterium. RNAcentral describes it as "tRNA-Ser". It matches the Rfam family "tRNA". From Rfam's summary of the family: Transfer RNA (tRNA) molecules are approximately 80 nucleotides in length. Lineage: Bacteria; Pseudomonadati; Fidelibacterota. The record is from RNAcentral.
GGAGAGGUGGCCGAGCUGGCUGAAGGCGCCCGCCUGCUAAGUGGGUGUAGGGCUUAACACUCUACCGAGGGUUCGAAUCCCUCCCUCUCCG